RNAcentral lists this long non-coding RNA (565 nucleotides) under Lathyrus oleraceus (garden pea). Its description in RNAcentral is "Pisum sativum (pea) long non-coding RNA (PSAT_LNC035814)". The record is from RNAcentral. Lineage: Eukaryota; Viridiplantae; Streptophyta; Magnoliopsida; Fabales; Fabaceae.
AGCAAUCGACUUACAAGGUUGAUGGCGAUGCAUAAAGCAAUCGACUUACAAAAGGGUGGAUGAAUACGUGCUAGUUCUGUUAGGUUUUGAAAAAUGAUUACUCGACGUUGGAUCGAGGUUUUGAUCUUGUUUUGAAAUGGUUAUCGAAUGUUCAUUUUAAUUCUUGUAUUAACAGAUGAAUAAAGAAUGAAAGAAUAAAUAUUAUACAUUUCAUGGGAGAGGGAUACAUUUGUUAUGAAUGGGGAUUCAAAAUAUUGGAAUAAUUAAAUCGGGUCCAAACAAUAAAUAAUGCAAUGUAUGAGUGUAAGUGCAAAGGAACCGACUCAUUGUAAGAAAGCCCAAGAGUAAGCUAUGUGAGGUUGAUGGCGAUGCUUAAAAAGCAAUCGACUUACAAGGGUGUGAAAAUGGGCUCGAUAGUAAAUCGAGAAAAAUAUGAUUUUUAUAAGUUUAAAAAUGAUUUUGAAUGAAUGAUGAAAUUAAAAGAAAAUAAAUUUGCAUUAUUAACAAAUGAAACUAUGAGUAUAAUAAAGGCAUAAACAUAAAAAAAGAAAUGAAAAUGCUAAAA